GAUUGUAGUCUGCAACUCGACUACAUGAAGCUGGAAUCGCUAGUAAUCGCGAAUCAGAAUGUCGCGGUGAAUACGUUCCCGGGUCUUGUACACACCGCCCGUCACACCAUGGGAGUCAGUAACGCCCGAAGCCGGUGACCCAACCGAUAAGGAGGGAGCCGUCGAAGGUGGGACCGAUAACUGGGGUGAAGUCGUAACAAGGUAUC
This 206-nucleotide ribosomal RNA is filed under the name uncultured bacterium. RNAcentral's name for it is "partial 16S ribosomal RNA". It matches the Rfam family "Bacterial small subunit ribosomal RNA", at positions 1296 to 1500 of the family's 1533-position model. The record is from RNAcentral.